Molecule: ribosomal RNA, 440 nt
Filed under: uncultured bacterium
Lineage: Bacteria
Description: partial 16S ribosomal RNA
Rfam family: Bacterial small subunit ribosomal RNA
Source: RNAcentral
CCUACGGGGGGCAGCAGUGGGGGAUAUUGCACAAUGGGGGGAACCCUGAUGCAGCGACGCCGCGUGGGUGAAGAAGCGCCUCGGCGCGUAAAGCCCUGUCAGCAGGGAAGUAAAUGACGGUACCUGAAGAAGAAGCCCUGGCUAACUACGUGCCAGCAGCCGCGGUAAUACGUAGGGGGCAAGCGUUAUCCGGAGUUACUGGGUGUAAGGGGGGCGCAGACGGGGUUGCAAGCCAGGAGUGAAAGCCCGGGGCCCAACCCCGGGACUGCUCUUGGAACUGCGUGGCUGGAGUGCAGGAGGGGCAGGCGGAAUUCCUGGUGUAGCGGUGAAAUGCGUAGAUAUCAGGAGGAACACCGGUGGCGAAGGCGGCCUGCUGGACUGCAACUGACGUUGAGGCCCGAAAGCGUGGGGAGCAAACAGGAUUAGAUACCCGUGUAGUC